AUGGAUCUGAAGCUAGAUGACCUCGACUGGGAGGAAGUACGGUCAAUCAACUGCUAUGCCCUGUUCAUGGGGUACCUCUCGAUGGCCAUAAGGGGGAUGGGAUACCUUGUGCUUACAUGGUCCACCGUCGUUCUCCUGGGUGGCUUCGUCUCUGUGCUGGAGAACAAAGACUUUUGGUGUCUCACAAUUAUCACCCUCGUCCAAACAGCCGGGGUAUUUGAUGUCUCUCUGAAAGAGAAAAUGAGAUAUAUUGGGACAUCACGCUACGGCCUCCAGAGUGCUAUAUAUGCCAUGCUGAUCUGGAAAAACACAAACGGUGAUGGAAAAAAUGCUAAUGGCGAUGGACCCUCCGUGCCACGCCUAGUGGUAGUACUGAUUGUAUGGUUGGUUCACCUGCUGGUGGUCGCUGUUAUAUUGUUGCCUCUAUCGGUUCUCUACCUUUGUGGGCUGCUCUUCACCACUGGGAUUUCGGUGUGGCGUCUAAUACAACGUGAUUAUGGCCGCAAGGCGGAGGAUGGAUAUGCGAACCUGCAGCCGGCCCUGAAUGUCUUGUACUCGCUGGCUCUGUUCCAGGGUUCGCUCUUUUGUUACAGGUUGUUCUCGUCUUUUGCGCGCGAAGGGCUAGCGAGCGAGGUGGCGGAGAAGUACAAGAUGAACGGCCGUGCGCACAAAUCGGUGAAGAAGUACUUGCGGGAGACCAUGAUCGGGUGCGAGAAGGAUCCAUCAUUCGUCAAGGGAAGGAACCUAGUCACGUAUGCCGUGGGAAUGAUGAAAUCUGAAUCGUCUAAAAGCUUCCUUUCUGGGGCAAGGAUUUUGGACGCCCUCUUGGAGCACCCACUGCCACUGGAGGAGCAGCACGCGCUGAUAGCAGAGCUCGUCGGCUCCGCGUCCUCCACCCAUGUACUCGAGAAACUGCUCCAGGCACUGGAUUCCAGAAGCCCACACGACGAGAAGAUGAGGGGGGUCGCCGCAAACAUAGUGGCGCACCUCGCCGGCAAGAUCCGUCUGAAGCGAUUCCCUCGUGGGAUCCAGUGCAUAGGCUCGCUGCUUGAGAUAUCUCAGGGGCAAGCUGAGGAUGGCGACGAGUGUGCGCCGUCUGCUGACUACGACUACAAGAAGCUCAUGGAGAAAGGCCUGGUUAUCCUCGACGGGCUCGCCGCCGAUGAGCACAACUGCAGAGUCCUCGGCAACGCCGAGGGCCUGCUCGCCAAGGUCGUGGCGCCUGUAAGCUCCGACCUGCUCCACCUCAUCGACCAUGAUGCCUGGUCCAUUGUCGUGGCCGCGUCACUGCAGGUCAUGUGCCGCCUCGUGGCUGCUCCCGGAGAGACCGGUGCCAAGCUACGUAGCCAAAUCUCUAGCAACAAGGAAGCGAUCAAUAGCAUGGAGGGGAUUCUCAAAUGCGACGAAUGUGAUGAAAAGCUCCAGGUCCUGACCAUCAAGAUCCUCACGCAGCUGCCCAUGGACGUGGAUGUAUGUCCGACUGCUGUAAACACAGAAAGCAGAGGAAAUUUUGUCAAGAUACUCCCAGACAUCUUCACUUGUGACAGUAAGGACAGCUCCAUCAGAAAAUUGGCAGGCGAAGCCCUGGUCAUGCUAAGUCUAAACCAAAGCAACGCUGCCAUCAUCCUAAAGGCAAAUGACAAUGUUGUCCAAGAUCUCACCAAGAUCCUUUUAGAUGCUGAGGCCGACAGCACACAUCGAAUCAAUGCAGCUGAGACCCUGGAGCAUCUGUAUGUUCACUACAAAGAAAAUGACGACCAUCACAAGAAAAAACUCAAGGAGGCCAUGGAGGGCAUGAUGCGAAAGGUUCUCCCGAAAAUACUUUCUUUUGGGUCGAAAAAUAAUACAACACCAACAGAAAAAGGAACAGAAAAGGAUGUUGGUCCUUUGCUAGGCACGGGCGACGUAGAAGCCCAAGACGGUGAUGCUCCACAAGAUGAUGGCCGUGAUAACAACACUUCAGCGUGUCCACACAACGAUGACAAGCAUGUGGGAAGGAAAUUGCAUGCAGCUUUGCUAUCUCUUGCUACGGCAAUAUUCGAUAAAUUGACCAGCCAAAACCAUGAUUUGGCUCAACUGGUCAAUACAAUUUCUCCUGGAGAUUAUCCCACUAGCUUCGCCAUAAAGCUCAAUGUAAUGGUGAAAGCAAACAGUGACCCCACGGUAAGCUGUCUGAGGAUAAUGAAGAAUACAAGCAGGAUGGUCGUGUUAAUGAUGAAACACAAUGGCAACUACCUGAAACAACACUUGGUGAGCUUCCAUGACUUGAUAGACUCUCUUUCCACUGCUUGCAAAAAGAUGGCGUGCCUCGAAGGCUCUAUGAUUUUCUAUAGCUCGAAUCGUGGCGCGAUGAAGCCUGGCAGAACUCUUGCUUCUCUAGUGAAAGAAGCAGAGGAGCUUCUAGGCCAAAAGGAGCCAAAACGGCUGUGA
RNAcentral lists this ribosomal RNA (2430 nucleotides) under Triticum aestivum (bread wheat). RNAcentral's name for it is "partial small subunit ribosomal RNA". Lineage: Eukaryota; Viridiplantae; Streptophyta; Magnoliopsida; Poales; Poaceae. The record is from RNAcentral.